GACGAACGCUGGCGGCGUGCCUAAUACAUGCAAGUAGAACGCUGAAGAGAGGAGCUUGCUCUUCUUGGAUGAGUUGCGAACGGGUGAGUAACGCGUAGGUAACCUGCCUGGUAGCGGGGGAUAACUAUUGGAAACGAUAGCUAAUACCGCAUAAAAUUGAUUAUUGCAUGAUAAUUAAUUGAAAGAUGCAAUUGCAUCACUACCAGAUGGACCUGCGUUGUAUUAGCUAGUUGGUGAGGUAACGGCUCACCAAGGCGACGAUACAUAGCCGACCUGAGAGGGUGAUCGGCCACACUGGGACUGAGACACGGCCCAGACUCCUACGGGAGGCAGCAGUAGGGAAUCUUCGGCAAUGGGGGGAACCCUGACCGAGCAACGCCGCGUGAGUGAAGAAGGUUUUCGGAUCGUAAAGCUCUGUUGUAAGAGAAGAACGAGUGUGAGAGUGGAAAGUUCACACUGUGUCGGAACUACCAGAAA
This 477-nucleotide ribosomal RNA is filed under the name Streptococcus sanguinis. Its description in RNAcentral is "bacterial SSU rRNA". It matches the Rfam family "Bacterial small subunit ribosomal RNA", at positions 28 to 489 of the family's 1533-position model. Lineage: Bacteria; Bacillati; Bacillota; Bacilli; Lactobacillales; Streptococcaceae. The record is from RNAcentral.